Molecule: long non-coding RNA, 2245 nt
Filed under: Pectinophora gossypiella (pink bollworm)
Lineage: Eukaryota; Metazoa; Arthropoda; Insecta; Lepidoptera; Gelechiidae
Description: uncharacterized LOC126381812
Source: RNAcentral
AUAAGAUGACAGCCAAGAAUUCAAUGUUGACAUUUGCUAAAAACUAUCGUGAAAGUAAUAAAAAAAAAUAAACGAAGAAGACUUGAAAGUUGAAAGAAUAAUGUUAUUUUUAUUAUAACCUAAAUUACAAAUUAAAAACAAAAAUAAACCGUAAGAUGAGUACGCAAGCUACAUCACCUACUCCGAGAGUCCGGCAGGCCCCGCCGGAGCCCCGCGCUAGGCAACCGCCGCCCCCGCCGCGACGUGCUAAUGCGCAAGCGCCGCCGCCCCCGCGAGAACGACAGCCACCUCCACCACCCCGGCAACGACAACCCCCACCGCCACCACGCGAUCGCCAUCAACCGGAUUUCUAUUAGAUUUUAACAUACUUACCUAUCCAUAUAGAAAAUAUCAAUUUUUGUAACAACAUUGUUAUCCAUUUCAUACCAAUUUUUUUAUAGUUCUACUACCUAUCUAAUACCUACUAACUACAGAAUUUAUACUAGUACCUAAGUACCUACUCAGACAGCUGACUAUUAUGUACAAUUAAUGUCUUUAGUUAGAUAAAAACUAUUUUUGAAAUAGGUACAUUGCAGCCUUGGAAUGUUUUGUACCUACCUACCCAUAUUAGCUAUAGAAAUGAUUAUGUUUGUAUAGUUAUAUUCAGAGAGAGAUAGGUAAGUAGGUAUAUUAAUUAAGUGUUUAGGGAAGUAGUAUUUAUACAAAAUUGUUAUUGGGUAUGAAAGCAGAGCUCACCAAGCUUAUUUAUGGGAAAUCCCCCAACAAAAUAAGACAAAGUUUUAAAGGGUUGGUACCACUGUGUAAUUGUCAUAGCUUUUUAUUGUUAAAUUAGUAGGUAUGUGAGAUUAGAUAGGUCGGUUCAUUAUUAAAAAAAUAAUAUAAUUUUGUUACUAACUGAACUUUUAUAUCUUUAUCAUAAAGUUAACUUGUGAUUUUCUAGUUUUCGGUGUUCUAUGAGGAUUGUUGAAUCGUUUUUUUACUGCAUGAUCAUGAUUAAAUGUCUCGUAAAUAAAUAAUACUAUACAUAUUUCGUAAAACUAUUUGUUUAUUUUAUUAUCUUAUCAGUGUUACUAAGGUAGGUAUUUUAUUUUAUGUAUAGUGUAAAAAUAGGUGGUUCUUAGGGUUACUUUAGGGUUAAAAGUCCAAUCAGUUUCUCGCAAAAUAAUAGAAUAACAAACUGGUUGUCAUGAGUCUUAAGUGCAACCAGUGGUAUGAGGUAUAACUAGAGGCGAAACUUGUACUAUUUGAAAGCUCUAACACUACCCAUGUCACACUUACAGGUAGUACCUACCUACCUUAAACCAAUCUUCAGUUAGUAUACUACGUAAUCCACCCAGUUCGAUGCGUAAAGGUUACGGGCUCGGCGAUCGGAAUCGUCUAAUAAAUAAUUGGUGGUCCUAACCAUGGUACCUACGAUCUUGAGUGAGUCUAAUAGCGUCGAUUUUUCCGAACUCGAUGCGCCAGCCCCAAUCUUGACGCAUCGGGCUGGGUGGAUUGGGUAAUCUGACCCCGUUCAGGAACGCGCAGCGCGUCAAGUGGCGUGAGGCGUGAACAAUGACAAUGUACUGAGCGUUCACGGAGAAGCAUUUUUGCAGGCGUUUGUUUGAAUUGUAGCAUCACAUAUGGCGGUACACGCCGCGGGCGACGUGGUAUAGGUGCGUGAAAAAAGGUGAACAUACAAAGUGUGAUCGCGCUACAGUGUGCUCAAGCAAGCAAUCAUGCUAUAGCGCGCGUAAGCAUUCUUAGUCGUGCUGCCAGAUGUGGUUCAACCCUAAUUUUCGAACGCUCUUCCGUUGUCGCUGUGUGGGUUGACGGAAGUCGCUGAUUGUCCAGGCUUGUGAUAAUACAAAUCCAGUGCCGAAUACGCAACGAAGCGUGCAGUACAAUGCAGUCAGUGUCUCCAUAUUUCAUUUUUAUUUUCCUACUCAUAAUCAACAAUGUAAUAUCGCGACAAAUGGAAAAACACGUCAACCCUCGCAGCGUUGAUAUUACAAACGUGAAGAAUAUUCAGGUGAAGUUUGCUGGCAUGGAAGAUUCUCCGCAAUGGAUCGAAGGAGCGAAUUGCCCAGAAGGAUACAAGUUGGCUGACGGGGUAUGUCGAGAAGUGUGGUACGAUGACUUCUCAGUGGACGAAGCGUAUUAAAUUUUAUUGGAUUGGAACUUUUAUUCUGUUACCAUGUGUUAUAGGUAGUUACCUAUUUUACAAUGUGAUUGAUAAUAAAAAGCACAACUUGGAGAAAGGAAA